CUCUGAUUCUUGCUGAGUGAACGUCAUUUUGACUCUGUCAUUUUCCUGCGCCAUUUCGUUUUCUUGUACACGAUGUCUGCUAAACGAACUUAUUCUGCAUCUAAUGUCCUGUUUGAAGAUCCUGACUUUCCUUUUCGGGACUCAGAUGACGAUUUAAUCGAUGAAGUGGAUCAGAUUUUUCUGGAAAAUCCUAUGGAUCUACCCUUGUAUUAUCAAGUGGGUUCCGGAUUUGAGACUUCUUCCUCAUCAGCUCGUGGCCCUGUGUAUAUGGCUGGCU
Molecule: long non-coding RNA, 277 nt
Organism: Stegodyphus dumicola
Lineage: Eukaryota; Metazoa; Arthropoda; Arachnida; Araneae; Eresidae
Source: RefSeq, a predicted model, not a curated record